GACGAACGCUGGCGGCGUGCUUAACACAUGCAGGUCGAACGGAAAGGCCCUGCUUUUGUGGGGUGCUCGAGUGGCGAACGGGUGAGUAACACGUGAGUAACCUGCCCUUGACUUUGGGAUAACUUCAGGAAACUGGGGCUAAUACCGGAUAGGAGCUCCUGCUGCAUGGUGGGGGUUGGAAAGUUUCGGCGGUUGGGGAUGGACUCGCGGCUUAUCAGCUUGUUGGUGGGGUAGUGGCUUACCAAGGCUUUGACGGGUAGCCGGCCUGAGAGGGUGACCGGCCACAUUGGGACUGAGCUACGGCCCAGACUCCUACGGGAGGCAGCAGUGGGGAAUAUUGCACAAUGGGCUGAAGCCUGAUGCAGCACCGCCGCGUGCGGGAUGACGGCAUUCGGGUUGUAAACCGCUUUCGCCUGUGACGAAGCGUGAGUGACGGUAAUGGGUAAAGAAGCACCGGCUAACUACGUG
This 468-nucleotide ribosomal RNA is filed under the name uncultured bacterium. Its description in RNAcentral is "partial 16S ribosomal RNA". It matches the Rfam family "Bacterial small subunit ribosomal RNA", at positions 28 to 507 of the family's 1533-position model. The record is from RNAcentral.